GCGGCGUCGCGGGGCGGGGGCCGGGCGGGGGACGUGAAGACUCUCGGACGGGACGCGGGUGUGCCCGAGCACAGCCGGGAAAGAGGAGCGGGGGCGCCCGGCGCUCCGCCCCACUCUUGGCUCCUGACUGCUUGGGCGGUGGUGCGAUCUGGUGGAUAAACUACGCCCUUAGAGCUGAUGCCUCCGUGUUCCACUCGUUCCUUUUUCACAACCGUCGACCGAGGCAGCAGUUCAGCCCGGCGUGGGGGCCAGAGAGGAGUAAAGCCUGGCUUCAGCCAUCCCAUGCACCCGACCGCUCGGCUUCCUCACACCCCCACCUCCUCCAUCCCCCCCCCCCCGGCCCCUCACAACCAGCCGAGGGAAAGUAAUAAUAUUGCAGUAAGAGGGUGUGAGAUAACCGGGAGGCAGGAGGCCCCCAGUCCUAAGACCUUAGCGGAGACUGGAACCACCGCCCUCCAGCCGUCGGGGAAGGUCGGGGAAGGCCCUUGUAGGCUGGAUGAACUAGGACUCCGCGUUCAAACGCAGUUAACGAUCCACGCAUCCCUGUCUUUGCGGGGCUCCGCUGGAAAAUUACCCGACUUCAGAAAGUCUGAGCCUCGACACCUCUUACAUCAGCCCCAAAUCUUGCUUUAGAUGUGAGAAUCAGGGACCCCAGGAAAGCGGGAAGGAAGAGGAGAUAGGACACAGCUCAGCUUCGGGUGUUAAAAUGAACGCCCCCCCCCCACCACAGCUCCCAGGGCUUUGAAAGGGGCCUCGGCCCGCCCGGACCUCGUCAUUUCCCGGAGUCUGAAGACAUUGGCUCUGGACCCCCUCCUCCCGGCGGCUCCGACGCACCCCUGAGCCUGCGAGCGUCUGGGGCGGUAGGGUGCGCGUGGCUGGCCCUGCCUCUCGUCAGGCCCCAAGCCUGGGAGGCGGAGCUCCGCUGCCCCGGGGGCGGGGACCUGGCCGGCGGGCGUGGCAUCGAGUUGGUUCGGGGCGGGGCUUCCUGGAGGCCUCCGGGCGCUGCGCGGCGGCUGGCCCUGGCCGAGGCCCGCACUCGGGAGGAUCUCCCCGAGCGCCCGCAAGGAUCACGAGAGCGGGGAUGCGGUCCUCCGCGACCACCACCAGCAACGACAGCUGCACCUUCCAGGCCUCCUUCCCUGUUGCGGGCGCCUGUUUUGCGUCUCCUUUCCCGCACUAUGCCUGUGUCGACCAGAAAGCCUGAAAUACGUGAACACACUCCACACAAGGCUGCUCAUUGCAGCCCAACUUGUAAUAGGACUGGCCAGACUGGACACAGAGCGAACAGGUUAUGAUGAAGCGCUGCCGUGGGGAAGCGUCCAGCUGCGUCCUGGUUGACCCGCAGUCACAGAGGAUGGACGCCUGCCCCAGACCACUCCUUUCUCCUCCAUCAUUCCUCCGUCACCUCCUCCCCGCCCCCGCCCCGUCCCCCGCCCCGUCCCCCGCCCCGCCCCGCCCCAACACUGGAUGCAGCCUUGGCCCAUCUGGAUCUCAUCCUUCCUGAGGAUCUGAAAAACCCGACCCUGGACAUUGGCUCUCCAGGCGACUCGGCCAGGCCCUCACCUUCUAUUCAUUUUGCAAAUGAAGAAUAUCUGUGUAUUAUUAUAGGAUGACCUCCAGGAUCCAUUAAGUGGGGGGAAAAAGGGAAAACAACAAGGUGGGAAACAGACACCUCAGAGAAAUGUAAAUAUACAUAUUUGUUGUCUUACUUACAGUUUUAUAAGUGGAAGUAUAAACAAAAGGCUAACAAAAACAGUUACCUAUGGGGAGAGGAAAACCAGGUGGAAGAGAUGGAAACUGGUAUUUUCUGUAUGUACCCUGUCUUGUACAUUUGAGUUUGGAAACAUGUAAAUGUUUUACAUCAUUAAAAAAUAAAAUAA
This is a long non-coding RNA of Zalophus californianus (California sea lion), 1880 nucleotides long. RefSeq lists it as uncharacterized. The transcript has 3 exons. The record is from RefSeq and is a predicted model, not a curated record. Lineage: Eukaryota; Metazoa; Chordata; Mammalia; Carnivora; Otariidae.